This 406-nucleotide ribosomal RNA is filed under the name uncultured bacterium. RNAcentral's name for it is "partial 16S ribosomal RNA". It matches the Rfam family "Bacterial small subunit ribosomal RNA", at positions 29 to 526 of the family's 1533-position model. The record is from RNAcentral.
AUUGAACGCUGGCGGCAGGCUUAACACAUGCAAGUCGAACGAGUGGCGGACGGGUGAGUAAUGCUUGGGAAUCCAGCUUAUGGAGGGGGAUAACUACGGGAAAAUGUAGCUAAUACCGCGUACCAUAGGAUGAGCCCAUGUGGGAUUAGGUAGUUGGUGAGGUAAAGGCUCACCAAGCCGAAGAUCUCUAGCUGGUCUGAGAGGAUGAUCGGCCACACUGGGACUGAGACACGGCCCAGACUCCUACGGGAGGAAGCAGUGGGGAAUAUGGCAAAAUGGGCGCAAGCCUGAUGCAGCAAUGCCGCGUGUAUGAAGAAGGCCUUAGGGUUGUAAAGUACUUUCAGCGGGGAGGCGGUACCCGAAGAAGAAGCAACGGCUAACUCCGUGCCAGCAGCCGCGGUAAUAG